CCUACGGGUGGCUGCAGUGGGGAAUAUUGGACAAUGGGCGCAAGCCUGAUCCAGCAAUGCCGCGUGUGUGAAGAAGGCCUGCGGGUUGUAAAGCACUUUAAGCAGGAAAGAAGGGGUGAAAGUUAAUACCUUUCAUCAUUGACGUUACCUGCAGAAUAAGCACCGGCUAACUCCGUGCCAGCAGCCGCGGUAAUACGGAGGGUACGAGCGUUAAUCAGAGCGACUGGGGGUGAUGCGAUCGUUCGGUGUUGAAAGCCCUGGGCUUAACCUGGGAACUGCGGUGGAUACUGUCGGGCUAGAGUGUGGUAGAGGGGAGUGGAAUUUCCGGUGUAGCAGUGAAAUGCGUAGAGAUCGGAAGGAACACCAGUGGCGAAGGCGGCUCCCUGGACUAACACUGACGCUGAGGUGCGAAAGCGUGGGGAGCAAACAGGAUUAGAUACCCCAGUAGUC
RNAcentral lists this ribosomal RNA (450 nucleotides) under uncultured bacterium. RNAcentral describes it as "partial 16S ribosomal RNA". It matches the Rfam family "Bacterial small subunit ribosomal RNA", at positions 338 to 795 of the family's 1533-position model. The record is from RNAcentral.